AGGUGUACACACCUGCAGGGCAUUACCAGCGCUGCAACUCCCUGUUUGCAGCGCUGGCCGUACACCCGGUCGAACCUCGGGUGUAGAGGAUCCAGCGCUGGAUCACCAGCGCUGGUCAUCAGGUGUAGACACUCACCAGCAUUUUUCUUGACCUCCGUGGAAUAAGCAGGUAUCCCAGCAUACCUGAGGAAGCCUCUCCGGUAAUCAAGAAAACUCCACUGCCUUGUGCUCACCUGACCCCUCCUUUAAAUGCUCAGCUGUAGUGUAGUCUCCUUCCCCGCGGUUUGCUCCGGUGUUCCCCGACCCCCCCUCCAAGCAGGUCUCCUUCCCCGCGGUGUGCUCCAGUGUUCCCCGACCUCCUCUCCAAGCAGGUCUCCUUCCCCGCGGUGUGCUCCGGUGUUCCCCGACCUCCCCUCCAAGCAGGUCUCCUUCCCCGCGGUGUGCUCCGGUGUUCCCCGACCUCCCCUCCAAGCAGGUCUCCUUCCCCGCGGUGUGCUCCGGUGUUUCCCACCCCCCCCCCCCCCAGCACGGAGGCAGCCACGCGGUGUCCCUGCGCUGCAGGGUAGGGGCGAGCUCAGCACACAGUGCUGGCAACAUUCAUCAAUAAGUUCGUCAGCUGCUCAGGAUCCAUUCAUUAAAAAAAAUCGCAGAAAAAUCGCUGUACAAUCA
Molecule: long non-coding RNA, 669 nt
Organism: Gopherus flavomarginatus (Mexican gopher tortoise)
Lineage: Eukaryota; Metazoa; Chordata; Testudines; Testudinidae
Exons: 4
Source: RefSeq, a predicted model, not a curated record